GGGCUCGCCUCGGCAGCACAGAUACUAAAACUGGGACGAUACAGAGAAGGUUAGCGUGGCCCCUGUGCAAGGAUGACACAAAUUCGUGAAGCGUUCCAUGUUUUU
RNAcentral lists this small nuclear RNA (105 nucleotides) under Tursiops truncatus (common bottlenose dolphin). The record is from RNAcentral. Lineage: Eukaryota; Metazoa; Chordata; Mammalia; Artiodactyla; Delphinidae.